RNAcentral lists this ribosomal RNA (648 nucleotides) under Paenibacillus assamensis. Its description in RNAcentral is "bacterial SSU rRNA". It matches the Rfam family "Bacterial small subunit ribosomal RNA", at positions 73 to 705 of the family's 1533-position model. The record is from RNAcentral. Lineage: Bacteria; Bacillati; Bacillota; Bacilli; Caryophanales; Paenibacillaceae.
GGAGUGCUUGCACUCCUGAUGGUUAGCGGCGGACGGGUGAGUAACACGUAGGCAACCUGCCUGUAAGACUGGGAUAACUACCGGAAACGGUAGCUAAUACCGGAUAGGCUUUUUCCUCGCCUGGGGGAGAAGAGAAAGACGGAGCAAUCUGUCACUUACAGAUGGGCCUGCGGCGCAUUAGCUAGUUGGUGAGGUAACGGCUCACCAAGGCGACGAUGCGUAGCCGACCUGAGAGGGUGAUCGGCCACACUGGGACUGAGACACGGCCCAGACUCCUACGGGAGGCAGCAGUAGGGAAUCUUCCGCAAUGGACGAAAGUCUGACGGAGCAACGCCGCGUGAGUGAUGAAGGCCUUCGGGUCGUAAAGCUCUGUUGCCAAGGAAGAACAGCUAGGAGAGUAACUGCUCUUAGAAUGACGGUACUUGAGAAGAAAGCCCCGGCUAACUACGUGCCAGCAGCCGCGGUAAUACGUAGGGGGCAAGCGUUGUCCGGAAUUAUUGGGCGUAAAGCGCGCGCAGGCGGUAAUGUAAGUUGGGUGUUUAAGGCAAGGGCUCAACCCUUGUUCGCACCCAAAACUGCAUCACUUGAGUGCAGCAGAGGAAAGUGGAAUUCCACGUGUAGCGGUGAAAUGCGUAGAGAUGUGGAGGA